RNAcentral lists this transfer RNA (71 nucleotides) under Loxodonta africana (African savanna elephant). It matches the Rfam family "tRNA". Rfam says of the family: Transfer RNA (tRNA) molecules are approximately 80 nucleotides in length. Their secondary structure includes four short double-helical elements and three loops (D, anti-codon, and T loops). Further hydrogen bonds mediate the characteristic L-shaped molecular structure. tRNAs have two regions of fundamental functional importance: the anti-codon, which is responsible for specific mRNA codon recognition, and the 3' end, to which the tRNAs corresponding amino acid is attached (by aminoacyl-tRNA synthetases). tRNAs cope with the degeneracy of the genetic code in two manners: having more than one tRNA (with a specific anti-codon) for a particular amino acid; and 'wobble' base-pairing, i.e. permitting non-standard base-pairing at the 3rd anti-codon position. The record is from Rfam by way of RNAcentral. Lineage: Eukaryota; Metazoa; Chordata; Mammalia; Proboscidea; Elephantidae.
GCAGUGGUGGUUCAGUGGUAGAAUUCUUGCCUUCCAUACAGGAGACCCAGGUUUGAUUCCUGAUCAAUGCA